AUUUCAAUAUGAUGAUAUUUCCAUGCACCACUCUUUAUGCCGUAUUGCGCAAAGGAAGAUUAUGGAUAGCUGAAAAAUC
Molecule: non-coding RNA, 79 nt
Organism: Drosophila mojavensis
Lineage: Eukaryota; Metazoa; Arthropoda; Insecta; Diptera; Drosophilidae
Source: Rfam